AUUGAACGCUGGCGGCAUGCCUUACACAUGCAAGUCGAACGGUAACAGGUCUUCGGAUGCUGACGAGUGGCGAACGGGUGAGUAAUACAUCGGAACGUGCCCAAUCGUGGGGGAUAACGCAGCGAAAGCUGUGCUAAUACCGCAUACGAUCUACGGAUGAAAGCAGGGGAUCGCAAGACCUUGCGCGAAUGGAGCGGCCG
This 200-nucleotide ribosomal RNA is filed under the name uncultured bacterium. RNAcentral describes it as "partial 16S ribosomal RNA". It matches the Rfam family "Bacterial small subunit ribosomal RNA", at positions 30 to 232 of the family's 1533-position model. The record is from RNAcentral.